UACUACAUGCAUUCUAUUUUAGGAAUUCAAUUGCAUUAUAAUUUGUCUGUUUGUCUUGCAUCAGAUCAGAGGUGAUCGGCUGAAUAUCAAUAUUAGAAUACUGAACAUCAGUAAAGUUGUGCAUGAUUUAUGUGAUGAUUGGAUUUCAAUGCAUAAUAUAAAAUACUCUUCUUGAAACAUAAAAAUAAAAUAAGUAUUUUAUUAUAACAAUACAUGAUGCUGUGAUGAUGUGGUACUAUUCCUCCCCCUUUUUUCUAAUCUCCUUCCACAGGAACCACAAACAAAUCCAGAUAGCUGCAACCCGCAAAAUUGAAAAAAAAAAAAAAGAAAAAAAAAAAAAGAGGGAGAAAAGGAGGGGGGAAAACACCAAAGAUGAGAAAGAGAUUAAGUAAAUAAAUAAAUACUCCUUAAUAUGUUGAGAUCUAGAUCCUUAUAUUUGAAUCAAAGGAUGCAGCACAGCUCUCAAUAUAGUUCUGAGUUUUUAUUUAUUAGGCACCAGGAGGUUGGUCGCUGCCCCCUUCAUGACCCAUUCCAGGGCUAUGCCCUGGACUUGUUGGACUGUAAAGUGCUACGUCAUACCCGGAAUGGUUGUUUGAGAAGCUGUCACUUGAUGUUGGUCUAGGCUUGUGUCGCAUAACCUUAACAGGGGCUGGAAGAUUGAACUUUGAUGGCCUCAAUGCUUCAGCCAACUCUAAGUGCUGCUGAUGAAUAAGCAGCACAAUUACAUAAAAUACCAAAACAUGGAUUCUUGGAUGUGAAGCCAUCAAAAUCAUUUGAUAAGAGAAGUUGGAUUGUAAACAUGAACCGAGGGAAAUGAACUUGAUGGUAGCAAUGAGCCAGGCUGGUGUAUAUAUAAUAUAGGAUGGUGUGUGAAGAUUGAAGAGUAGUGCUUUGCCAGCAAUCAAUUUAAUUGAAGGGCCCAACAUGGAAAUCUUUCCAUUUUGGGUAUGAAUAACACUUCUCAGCCUACUCCAUUUCCAAAGAGCUCUGCCACUGCCACAAGUUGAUAUUCUCAUACUCCUUUUAGUUAGAUAAAAGCUUUUAGUACAGGAUUUGAUAAGACAUCACAAUACAACAAUCCCCUUGGUAUUUCUUGUUUUCUUUUAGAGCAGCCUUGUGUGGGAUAGAGCUUCUUGAAGACAGUGUUUGCUGCAAGUUGGAUACAAAAUAAAAGUAAAAAUAAACGAAAAUGGUUCUUCCACUAAAUGUUAUAAGGAUUUGCUGUCUGCUGUGCAUAUUUUCUCUGAUCAUCUUGUUCUUAGUAUAUAUAGUUCUGCACCACAUGUAUCAGUUCUGUGUACAGUGUGGAGCCAUCUUCUACAAAGUGAUUUCCUUUGUUAUUGAACAGUGAGAAAUAUCGUUUAUAGUCGCCAAUAUGGUUGCUUUAACCUGUGUUCCUAACUUCUUUACAGAGGGAUGAGAACUGCUUCCUUCUUGCAUUCUGUAUAUUUCCCCACAAUCCACAUUUUUACACUGCACUAGAUUUGUGAAGUACAAUAUUUGAGUUAUGGAACAGGUGACAACAUAUCAGUAACUGCUAUACGUGGCGAGAGAGAUUCUUGGCUAGACUUAAUUUAUACAAGUUGGACAUAUAGAGGUAAGUAUAUAUUAUUAUUGUUAUGGUUAAUGAGACACUCAUAAUAUAUUUGAAAGGGAAACAAGGGAUGAUUUCCAUUCUGUACAUUUCAUAAUGUUAUAGAUUUACCGGCAGACUACAUCUUUGUCACAUUCUAUUGCAUAUGCCUUUGCCUUCUCUCAAGAUCGAUUUUCCAUAUUUGAGUAAUAACAAAUACUUUGUGUAUUAUGUUAGUUAUAUGUAUCAUCAAACUGAUGAAUGAAUUGAAGAUUCUGUUCUUCUUGGCUCUUUACUUCAUAAACAAUGGAAAGAGCUUCUUUAAUUCAUUUAUCGGGAACAUAUGAUUAACUAAACUAUGGUUUAGCAACACACACAUGAAAAGAAAAGUUCUUGAUUAUCAUGAUCAGAUUCUUAACGAGAAUCUUAUUCUCGUGAACUUGUGCUUUUUCCUUAAGAAGCCAUCUUGAGUGCGAAAAUAGGAUAGUGCAGGAUGGAUAUCGAAGGAAAUAGAAAGCAGAAAUGAGAGGGGGAAUGGAAGAGAAUAUUCUUAACUAGGUAAGUUGUCAUUCUGUUGUUUCCACUUAACAUCCUUAGAUUCUUCAAAACAUAGUAUUCUUUGAGUGGAAGGGCGGGAUAUUAUUGUAUAUGUUAGUAUUCCAUGGUAGAAUAUUCUUUCUUAAGAAAAUGACAGUUUGACUCAAUAUUUUAUCAAAUGUGCGGCAUGUGAUCGACAAGUUUCGCAAUUUUUCAUAUUCAUUAGUUUCUUGUGAAUUGGUUAACUUCACCACAUGUUAAAGAAACAGUAAAAGGUUUAGUAAAAAACUUUAAUCCAUGUAAUGUUAUCUCUAAGUGUCGUAUAGCACCAUAUCUUACUCCAAUACCAUUGCUAUUUUCCCUUUCAUGGAGUGAAAUUCCAUUUGACAUGGAAAACAUUCAAGGAUUGAGCAUUAAAUGCACUAUUGUUUAGAUUUUAUUUUAUUAUUUUUUUUUUCACGUCAAAAGGGAUUCUGGCUACUUGGAAAGUUGGAAGAAAAUAUCUGUCAUUUUUCUUGCUUUGGAGAGAAUUAUAUAUAUUUUGCUUUGUUAGAAAAAAUAUGGAGAGUGGCACAACAUUUGAAGUGUGGAGUUUCUUAUUUUGAAGUAAGAUACAAUAAUGUUACAAAACACAGUAGAAAAGUCUAUCUAUUACUUCAUAUUCGUACUUAAGUAGAGUGAUGAUUAUUUACAAAAAAUGCAAGUUAAGAGAAGGGGAUACAAAGAAACAAAAUUAUAGGAUAUAGUUUUUGAAUGCAUAUAGAUAGUUGCUCUUUUGAGAUUUAACAUGUGAUUUGGUGGUAAACUAUACUGUUUUUCAAUUCAAAUCUUAUCAAUCUGAUCUCGGUCAGAUGUACUGAGAAAAAAUAUGCACUCUUCAACUAGAAAACUAGGAAAACAAGCACUCAUACAAAUAUAGUAAAAGCAAAGCCUUAUAGGAAAACAAACAAACAUAUAUAUAUGUGUGUGUGUGUGUAUGCUAAAACCGAAACCUAAUCUCAUUCUGCAUAUGCACAAGACUGAGGAUGAUCUCUGCUAUGGAGAUGUUUUAUUUCUUCAGCACACCAUUCUGCAUGACAAGAAACCUUAAUAAUCAAGCAGUGAUAUAUAUAUAUAUAUAUAUAUACACAUGUAUGUACCCAGGAUCAGUCUAUUAUCUCAUUUGGAGGUCUAUUGUUACCCAUCCCGGGGCUAUGUCCCGGAGCUGUAGGCCUGAACGCUCCAACUUCCUCCUCCUUGCAAGGGUUGUCGUAGGACAGAUUAUCAACUGAGGGAGGAUGGUAUCGUCUAGGCUUAUGUACCAUAACACUACUUAGAUAGGGUGCAGGUGGAGAAUGAAAUUCUGAUGGCAACCUUGAUGCUUCAGCCGCCAACUCUAAGUGUCGAUGAACUAACAGGGACAACAUAGGUAUACAAUAGACCACUAGAACAUAGAUCCUAGGAUGUGAUGCCAUUGAGCUGAGCUAAGCGAUGUGAGAUGAAUAUUUAGAUAUGAAACUUUUGAAGGAAAUGCAGUUGAUGCUUGCAGGGUUACCAUGGCUGGUGUAUAUAAGGAUGAUGGGGUCCCACAGAAGGGCAUUGGUGGUCAUAAACAAUGGCGGGUGAAGCUUCAUCUCUCAGCUCAUAGCAGGUGCCCAGGCCACUAUGAAUAGAUUAUAAUUAUAUAUAAUUCGCCGCCAUUAUAAAUAAAUAUCUGGAUUGUGAUCAUAUUCGUCUUGCAUAUUGUGUGUCUUUCUUCAUCUGUGAUGUUAUUUAGUUUCACACCUACUUUUGUUGUGUUGGUGAUCUGUUUGUGUUGCAUGUGGCUUGGAAAUGAAGUUUGGAGGUCUGUUUGUGUUGUGUUGGUGAUCUGUUUGUUGGUUUUGAACCUUUUUGAAGUUGUUGAUGUUGUGUAUAGGAGGUGUUCAAUACU
Ipomoea triloba (trilobed morning glory) is the source of this 4022-nucleotide long non-coding RNA. RefSeq lists it as uncharacterized. The record is from RefSeq and is a predicted model, not a curated record. NCBI's taxonomy places the organism in Eukaryota, Viridiplantae, Streptophyta, Magnoliopsida, Solanales, Convolvulaceae. The transcript has 2 exons.